GAUGAACGCUGGCGGCGUGCCUAAUACAUGCAAGUCGAGCGAACAGACGAGGAGCUUGCUCCUCUGACGUUAGCGGCGGACGGAUGAGUAACACGUGGAUAACCUACCUAUAAGACUGGGAUAACUUCGGGAAACCGGAGCUAAUACCGGAUAAUAUAUUGAACCGCAUGGUUCAAUAGUGAAAGACGGUUUUGCUGUCACUUAUAGAUGGAUCCGCGCCGCAUUAGCUAGUUGGUAAGGUAACGGCUUACCAAGGCAACGAUGCGUAGCCGACCUGAGAGGGUGAUCGGCCACACUGGAACUGAGACACGGUCCAGACUCCUACGGGAGGCAGCAGUAGGGAAUCUUCCGCAAUGGGCGAAAGCCUGACGGAGCAACGCCGCGUGAGUGAUGAAGGUCUUCGGAUCGUAAAACUCUGUUAUUAGGGAAGAACAAAUGUGUAAGUAACUAUGCACGUCUUGACGGUACCUAAGCAGAAAGCCACGGCUAACUACGU
Molecule: ribosomal RNA, 496 nt
Filed under: uncultured bacterium
Lineage: Bacteria
Description: partial 16S ribosomal RNA
Rfam family: Bacterial small subunit ribosomal RNA
Source: RNAcentral